Molecule: ribosomal RNA, 487 nt
Filed under: uncultured Acholeplasma sp.
Lineage: Bacteria; Bacillati; Mycoplasmatota; Mollicutes; Acholeplasmatales; Acholeplasmataceae
Description: bacterial SSU rRNA
Rfam family: Bacterial small subunit ribosomal RNA
Source: RNAcentral
CAGAAACUCAAAGGAAGUUGACGGGGCCCGGCACAAGCGGUGGAACAUGUGGUUUAAUUCGAAGCAACGCGAAGAACCUUACCAGGCCUUGACAUGCAGAGAACUUUCCAGAGAUGGAUUGGUGCCUUCGGGAACUCUGACACAGGUGCUGCAUGGCUGUCGUCAGCUCGUGUCGUGAGAUGUUGGGUUAAGUCCCGUAACGAGCGCAACCCUAUUGCUAGUUACCAUCAUUAAGUUGGGGACUCUAGCGAGACUGCCAGUGAUAAACUGGAGGAAGGUGGGGAUGACGUCAAAUCAUCAUGCCCCUUAUGACCUGGGCUACAAACGUGAUACAAUGGCUGGAACAAAGGGAUGCGAAGCAGUGAUGUGGAGCGAAACCCAUAAAAACAGUCUCAGUUCGGAUUGAAGUCUGCAACUCGACUUCAUGAAGUCGGAAUCGCUAGUAAUCGAGGAUCAGAACGCCGCGGUGAAUACGUUCUCGGGGUUU